This 301-nucleotide ribosomal RNA is filed under the name uncultured bacterium. RNAcentral's name for it is "partial 16S ribosomal RNA". It matches the Rfam family "Bacterial small subunit ribosomal RNA", at positions 509 to 807 of the family's 1533-position model. The record is from RNAcentral.
CAGUAGCCGCGGUAAUACAGAGGGUGCAAGCGUUAAUCGGAAUUACUGGGCGUAAAGCGCGCAUAGGUGGUUUGUUAAGUUGGAUGUGAAAUCCCCGGGCUCAACCUGGGAACUGCAUCCAAAACUGGCAAGCUAGAGUAUGGUAGAGGGUGGUGGAAUUUCCUGUGUAGCGGUGAAAUGCGUAGAUAUAGGAAGGAACACCAGUGGCGAAGGCGACCACCUGGACUGAUACUGACACUGAGGUGCGAAAGCGUGGGGAGCAAACAGGAUUAGAUACCCGCGUAGUCCCUGUCUCUUAUAC